RNAcentral lists this transfer RNA (73 nucleotides) under Candidatus Beckwithbacteria bacterium CG10_big_fil_rev_8_21_14_0_10_34_10. RNAcentral's name for it is "tRNA-Thr". It matches the Rfam family "tRNA". From Rfam's summary of the family: Transfer RNA (tRNA) molecules are approximately 80 nucleotides in length. The record is from RNAcentral. Lineage: Bacteria; Candidatus Beckwithiibacteriota.
GCCUGUGUAGCUCAGUUGGUAGAGCAGCGGUAUCGUAAACCGCAGGUCGUCGGUUCAACUCCGACCGCAGGCU